Etheostoma spectabile (orangethroat darter) is the source of this 199-nucleotide long non-coding RNA. RefSeq lists it as uncharacterized. The transcript is spliced from 3 exons. The record is from RefSeq and is a predicted model, not a curated record. Lineage: Eukaryota; Metazoa; Chordata; Actinopteri; Perciformes; Percidae.
UUAUUUUGACAGAAAUUGCUGCUACAUUCUAUUUAGUGUCCACUGCUAACUAUAGUAGCUACAUGGCUAACGGCAGUAAACCAUGUCAUGUGGGCUGAAAAUGUGUUGCAUCUCAUACAGAGGGUGAAUACAGCUGCAGCAACCAUGGGCAGUAUGAAAAAGAAAGUGUUUUUUUAACAAUAAAGCAUGUAAACAUUUU